GGAGGGUGCGAGCGUUGUUCGGAAUUACUGGGCGUAAGGCGCGUGUAGGCGGCCUUGCAAGUCAGGCGUGAAAGCCCUCGGCUUAACCGGGGAAGUGCGUCUGAGACUGCUUGGCUUGAGUACGGGAGAGGGAGGCGGAAUUCCCAGUGUAGAGGUGAAAUUCGUAGAUAUUGGGAGGAACACCGGUGGCGAAAGCGGCCUCCUGGACCGAUACUGACGCUGAGACGCGAAAGCGUGGGGAGCAAACAGGAUUAGAUACCCUGGUAGUCCACGCGGUAAACGAUGGGCACUAGGUGUGGGGGGUAUCCACUCCUCCCGUGCCGAAGCUAACGCAUUAAGUGCCCCGCCUGGGGAGUACGGCCGCAAGGUUA
This 371-nucleotide ribosomal RNA is filed under the name uncultured bacterium. RNAcentral's name for it is "bacterial SSU rRNA". It matches the Rfam family "Bacterial small subunit ribosomal RNA", at positions 527 to 896 of the family's 1533-position model. The record is from RNAcentral.